UUUGCCAUUAGUCUGUAGAUGGCCUAUCGAGGUCAGUCGAUAUGCGAUGCCAAAUUCUUUGUAAAACUUUUUAAAUUGGGUGUUGUCAAAAUGUUGACCGUUGUUGGUCAAGAAUAAUCUAAGGUAUACCAAACCAACUGAUGAUGACCUUCCAUAUAAGAUUGCGAACUUUGGCCUUAGUGAUGUGGCCUAAUAACUCGGCCUCCACACAUUUUAUAUAGUCAAUGGAGAGGAGAAGAAAUUUUUUAUUAUCUCAAGGCUAUAGGGAAUGGGCUGAGGAUAUCCAUCCCCCACUGUCUGAAAGACCAUGGUAGUCGUUGCUGACAUCGAUCAUGUCUUUUCACAAGUUUAGCUAUAUUCUAUUAUAGGGUCGAUCAGUAGUAUCUUUGCCGAACUAUCUUAUAAGCUAGAGACGUAUCCUCCAAAUGGUUGUUGUAAAUGUCAUAUGCGCUUCUCGAAGUAUAUAGUUUGGCUCGAUUGGUCGUUGGCACCUGAGAAGAGACAAAGAGAAAGAUCUUUUGUGCAACUUGUUGUCAUAGAAGAUAUAGUGGAAAACAUGACAUCUUAACUUCCUAGCUUCCUUUAGAUCGGUUG
RNAcentral lists this long non-coding RNA (594 nucleotides) under Elaeis guineensis (African oil palm). Its description in RNAcentral is "long non-coding RNA (EGUI_LNC043201)". Lineage: Eukaryota; Viridiplantae; Streptophyta; Magnoliopsida; Arecales; Arecaceae. The record is from RNAcentral.